GACGAACGCUGGCGGCGUGCCUAAUACAUGCAAGUCGAACGCACAGGAUGCACCGUAGUUUCCUACACCGUAUUCUGUGAGUUGCGAACGGGUGAGUAACGCGUAGGUAACCUUCCUGGUAGCGGGGGAUAACUAUUGGAAACGAUAGCUAAUACCGCAUAAGAACAUUUACUGCAUGGUAGAUGUUUAAAAGGUGCAAAUGCAUCACUACCAGAUGGACCUGCGUUGUAUUAGCUAGUAGGUGAGGUAACGGCUCAACUAGGCGAAGAUACAUAGCCGACCUGAGAGGGUGAUCGGCCACACUGGGAAUGAGAAACGGCCCAGACUCCUACGGGAGGCAGCAGUAGGGAAUCUUCGGCAAUGGGGGGAAACCUGACCGCGCAACGCCGCGUGAGUGAAGAAGGUUUUCGGAUCGUAAAGCUCUGUUGUUAAGGAAGAAAGAGUGUGAGAAUGGAAAGUUCAUACUGUGACGGUACUUAACCAGAAAGGGACGGCUAACUACGUG
Molecule: ribosomal RNA, 505 nt
Filed under: uncultured bacterium
Lineage: Bacteria
Description: partial 16S ribosomal RNA
Rfam family: Bacterial small subunit ribosomal RNA
Source: RNAcentral